CACCGCGGUUAUACGAGGGGCCCAAGUUGAUAAUUUUCGGCGUAAAGAGUGGUUAUGGAAUAUAUAAAAUAAGGCCGCACCUCUUCAAGGCUGUCAUACGCACCCGAAGAAAGGAAGCCCGACCACGAAAGUGGCUUUAACUCGCCUGACCCCACGAAAGCUAUGGCA
Molecule: ribosomal RNA, 168 nt
Filed under: Scorpaenopsis diabolus (false stonefish)
Lineage: Eukaryota; Metazoa; Chordata; Actinopteri; Perciformes; Scorpaenidae
Description: partial 12S rRNA
Source: RNAcentral